CACACUCACCUGGGCUGCGUUAGCUAAUCAGCCCAGGUGCUUAUAGGUGUGCUGCUCUCCACAGUUCAGGGCCCAGAUCAGGAGCUCACACUGAGAGUGAAUUUCUUUAUUCUUAUUCCCCCUCCACUGGCGUGUUACACGCUAUAACAACUGUAAACUAAUAAAAUAACCAUGUAUUAUCUCAAAGUUCCUAAAAUGAGUCCUAUUGUCAGCUGAACAUUGCUAUAAUACACAUGAACCUGUCCCAGGUUGGUGAACACAAUUAGGCACACAUUUGAAAUGUGACCUAAGACAUGUUGCUGGAUGUCUCAUUCUGAUAAGUCACUGUUCACGUGCAUGGAUGAGCUCCAUGGUCAGGUAUCUAUUAAGGCACUGUUCUAGUGAAUGGAUGGGCCCCACGCACUGGUUUUGAAUCUAGACCAUGCCAGCACUAACUGGGUGGCAGUCAAUAAUAAAAAUGUGCAGCUGAAAGCUUAAUCGCGGCCAGGCUUCCAGGGGGUGGUGUCGGAACUGACUGCAGACCGGGGGGGAGACAAGAAUUCAUCAAACUAACAGCAAAUUCUUUCAAUCAAUCACUCAGACUGGAUUAUAUUGUCCAGUCAGGACCACAAAAAGAUCUGCAGAAAUAAUUUGAAAACUGGGUAUUUGGAAACCCUACCUGUGAACCAAACGUCUGGAGGACACUUAUUCUGCUUUGCAUAGCUGGGAAAUGUAUGACUGAUAUCACAGAAAUGAACGUAAUGGGUCAUUUACACAAGCCGUGAGACCCAUAACAGGGAACGUUGUUCUUUUCCGGCUUUGAAGUCGGGUCAUCUCCCAAGGGUCUCCGGGGCGAAGAGAUGUUUAACAGCCCCGCUCCCCAGAGGCCGGGAGCGCACGAGGGCAACUAGAAGGACGAGGUCAUUGUUUUAACAAUCCAUGGUCCUUAAGAAAAGGGCUUCUCUUCUGUUUAUCACAGAACAGUUAGAAUCAUACACAGAAUGAAGAGACUUUCCACACAGAUGGAGUAACAGGCCAAAAGCUGCGCCAGCUUGGUCAGCUGUUCUGUCAUUUGCUACAACCAAAACUCUUUGUUUAAAAAAAGACACGCCGCCUUAGGCAGCAUGUUGCUCAAGACUCAACAAAGAUAAAAUGUGUAUCUGUGAAUGUGUUUGGACGGAGGGAGGUCACGGACGAUACUGCGAUACAGGGCUUUAUUUUUUUGGCAAAUACAUACAAACAACAAGAAGCCUCAGACUAUGAAAAUGAAAUAUGGUCUCCUCUGUGCCUUUAAAUGCCUUUAAAAUUGCACUUCAGUGUUUAAUUAUGUUUUUCUAUAAAUAAUGCUGUCUCAAAUCUCUGAUCCUGUUUAAUUUUGAAACCUGCCUGAUCACUUCUGAGUUUUGUUUUGACCUCCUAAGAAAAAAAAAUAUAUAGUAUUGUAGUACACUUGAGCAUAGUAAAACAGCUGUUUUCCCCAAAGUGGUCUGUAGAAUGAACAAUGGUAUUUUUAAAACUUGAUCAAGGCAAAAUAUUUAUGUCAUCUAUGGACAGAGAAUAAGAUAAUUAAUUAAUGUGAAUUACUUAAUUAAUCAAUCACGUGAUUAAUUAAUGGA
Molecule: long non-coding RNA, 1595 nt
Organism: Anguilla rostrata (American eel)
Lineage: Eukaryota; Metazoa; Chordata; Actinopteri; Anguilliformes; Anguillidae
Exons: 2
Source: RefSeq, a predicted model, not a curated record